GAUGAACGCUGGCGGCGUGCCUAAUACAUGCAAGUCGAGCGAACGGACGAGAAUCUUGCUUCUCUGAUGUUAGCGGCGGACGGGUGAGUAACACGUGGAUAACCUACCUAUAAGACUGGGAUAACUUCGGGAAACCGGAGCUAAUACCGGAUAAUAUUUUGAACCGCAUGGUUCAAAAGUAAAAGACGGUCUUGCUGUCACUUAUAGAUGGAUCCGCGCUGCAUUAGCUAGUUGGUAAGGUAACGGCUUACCAAGGCAACGAUGCAUAGCCGACCUGAGAGGGUGAUCGGCCACACUGGAACUGAGACACGGGCCAGACUCCUACGGGAGGCAGCAGUAGGGAAGCUGCCGCAAUGGGCGAAAGCCUGACGGAGCAACGCCGCGUGAGUGAUGACGGUCUUCGGAUCGUAAAACUCUGUUAGUAGGGAAGAACAUAUGUGUAAGUAACUGUGCACAUCUUGACAGUACCUAAUCAGAAAGCCACGGCUAACUACGUG
Molecule: ribosomal RNA, 497 nt
Filed under: uncultured bacterium
Lineage: Bacteria
Description: partial 16S ribosomal RNA
Rfam family: Bacterial small subunit ribosomal RNA
Source: RNAcentral